AUUGAACGCUGGCGGCAUGCUUUACACAUGCAAGUCGAACGGCAGCGCGGGCUUCGGCCUGGCGGCGAGUGGCGAGCGGGUGAGUAAUACAUCGGAACGUGCCCAGUAGUGGGGGAUAGCUCGGCGAAAGCCGGAUUAAUACCGCAUACGACCUGAGGGUGAAAGCGGGGGAUCUUCGGACCUCGCGCUAUUGGAGCGGCCGAUGGCAGAUUAGCUAGUUGGUGGGGUAAAGGCCUACCAAGGCGACGAUCUGUAGCUGGUCUGAGAGGACGACCAGCCACACUGGGACUGAGACACGGCCCAGACCCCUACGGGAGGCAGCAGUGGGGAAUUUUGGACAAUGGGCGAAAGCCUGAUCCAGCAAUGCCGCGUGUGUGAUGAAGGCCUUCGGGUUGUAAAGCACUUUUGGCGGGAACGAAAAGGACUGUGCCAAUACCACGGUUCGAUGACGGUACCCGCAGAAUAAGCACCGGCUAACUACGUG
Molecule: ribosomal RNA, 484 nt
Filed under: uncultured bacterium
Lineage: Bacteria
Description: partial 16S ribosomal RNA
Rfam family: Bacterial small subunit ribosomal RNA
Source: RNAcentral